Molecule: ribosomal RNA, 515 nt
Filed under: uncultured bacterium
Lineage: Bacteria
Description: bacterial SSU rRNA
Rfam family: Bacterial small subunit ribosomal RNA
Source: RNAcentral
GAUCCUGGCUCAGGAUGAACGCUAGCUACAGGCUUAACACAUGCAAGUCGAGGGGCAGCAGGGCAAUAGCUUGCUAUUGCUGCUGGCGACCGGCGCACGGGUGAGUAACGCGUAUCCAACCUACCCCGCGGUCAGGGACAGCCCGGCGAAAGUCGGAUUAAUACCUGAUGCAGUCAGAAGAGGGCAUCUGAUUUUGACGAAAGAUUUAUCGCCUCGGGAUGGGGAUGCGUAGGAUUAGGCAGGCGGCGGGGUAACGGCCCACCGCGCCGACGAUCCUUAGGGGUUCUGAGGGGAAGGUCCCCCACACUGGUACUGAGACACGGACCAGACUCCUACGGGAGGCAGCAGUGAGGAAUAUUGGUCAAUGGGCGCGAGCCUGAACCAGCCAAGUAGCGUGCCAGGACGACGGCCCUAUGGGUUGUAAACUGCUUUUAUGCGGGGAUAAAGUGCGGCACGUGUGCCGUUUUGUAUGUACCCUAUGAAUAAGGACCGGCUAAUUCCGUGCCAGCCGCAGC